Molecule: ribosomal RNA, 1711 nt
Filed under: Salmonella enterica subsp. enterica serovar Johannesburg
Lineage: Bacteria; Pseudomonadati; Pseudomonadota; Gammaproteobacteria; Enterobacterales; Enterobacteriaceae
Description: partial 23S ribosomal RNA
Rfam family: Bacterial large subunit ribosomal RNA
Source: RNAcentral
CUGCGAAGGUGUGUCGUGAGGCAUGCUGGAGGUAUCAGAAGUGCGAAUGCUGACAUAAGUAACGAUAAAGCGGGUGAAAAGCCCGCUCGCCGGAAGACCAAGGGUUCCUGUCCAACGUUAAUCGGGGCAGGGUGAGUCGACCCCUAAGGCGAGGCCGAAAGGCGUAGUCGAUGGGAAACGGGUUAAUAUUCCCGUACUUGGUGUUACUGCGAAGGGGGGACGGAGAAGGCUAUGUUGGCCGGGCGACGGUUGUCCCGGUUUAAGCGUGUAGGUGUGUGUUCCAGGUAAAUCCGGUUCACUUUAACACUGAGGCGUGAUGACGAGGCACUACGGUGCUGAAGCAACAAAUGCCCUGCUUCCAGGAAAAGCCUCUAAGCAUCAGGUAACAUCAAAUCGUACCCCAAACCGACACAGGUGGUCAGGUAGAGAAUACCAAGGCGCUUGAGAGAACUCGGGUGAAGGAACUAGGCAAAAUGGUGCCGUAACUUCGGGAGAAGGCACGCUGACACGUAGGUGAAGUGAUUUACUCAUGGAGCUGAAGUCAGUCGAAGAUACCAGCUGGCUGCAACUGUUUAUUAAAAACACAGCACUGUGCAAACACGAAAGUGGACGUAUACGGUGUGACGCCUGCCCGGUGCCGGAAGGUUAAUUGAUGGGGUCAGCGCAAGCGAAGCUCCUGAUCGAAGCCCCGGUAAACGGCGGCCGUAACUAUAACGGUCCUAAGGUAGCGAAAUUCCUUGUCGGGUAAGUUCCGACCUGCACGAAUGGCGUAAUGAUGGCCAGGCUGUCUCCACCCGAGACUCAGUGAAAUUGAACUCGCUGUGAAGAUGCAGUGUACCCGCGGCAAGACGGAAAGACCCCGUGAACCUUUACUAUAGCUUGACACUGAACAUUGAGCCUUGAUGUGUAGGAUAGGUGGGAGGCUUUGAAGUGUGGACGCCAGUCUGCAUGGAGCCGGCCUUGAAAUACCACCCUUUAAUGUUUGAUGUUCUAACGUGGACCCGUGAUCCGGGUUGCGGACAGUGUCUGGUGGGUAGUUUGACUGGGGCGGUCUCCUCCUAAAGAGUAACGGAGGAGCACGAAGGUUGGCUAAUCCUGGUCGGACAUCAGGAGGUUAGUGCAAUGGCAUAAGCCAGCUUGACUGCGAGCGUGACGGCGCGAGCAGGUGCGAAAGCAGGUCAUAGUGAUCCGGUGGUUCUGAAUGGAAGGGCCAUCGCUCAACGGAUAAAAGGUACUCCGGGGAUAACAGGCUGAUACCGCCCAAGAGUUCAUAUCGACGGCGGUGUUUGGCACCUCGAUGUCGGCUCAUCACAUCCUGGGGCUGAAGUAGGUCCCAAGGGUAUGGCUGUUCGCCAUUUAAAGUGGUACGCGAGCUGGGUUUAGAACGUCGUGAGACAGUUCGGUCCCUAUCUGCCGUGGGCGCUGGAGAACUGAGGGGGGCUGCUCCUAGUACGAGAGGACCGGAGUGGACGCAUCACUGGUGUUCGGGUUGUCAUGCCAAUGGCACUGCCCGGUAGCUAAAUGCGGAAGAGAUAAGUGCUGAAAGCAUCUAAGCACGAAACUUGCCCCGAGAUGAGUUCUCCCUGAGACUUAGAGUCUCCUGAAGGAACGUUGAAGACGACGACGUUGAUAGGCCGGGUGUGUAAGCGCAGCGAUGCGUUGAGCUAACCGGUACUAAUGAACCGUGAGGCUUAACCUUACAACGCCGAAG